ACUUUCAACAACGGAUCUCUUGGCUCUCGCAUCGAUGAAGAACGUAGCGAAGUGCGAUAAGUGAUGUGAAUUGCAGAAUUCCGUGAAUCAUCGAAUCUUUGAACGCAAAUUGCCUCUCUGGUAUUCCGGAGAGUAUGCCUGUUUGAGGGUCAGU
Molecule: ribosomal RNA, 154 nt
Filed under: uncultured Glomus
Lineage: Eukaryota; Fungi; Glomeromycota; Glomeromycetes; Glomerales; Glomeraceae
Description: 5.8S ribosomal RNA
Rfam family: 5.8S ribosomal RNA
About the family: 5.8S ribosomal RNA (5.8S rRNA) is a component of the large subunit of the eukaryotic ribosome. It is transcribed by RNA polymerase I as part of the 45S precursor that also contains 18S and 28S rRNA.
Source: RNAcentral